UUCAUUUCGAUCAUCAUUUAA
Molecule: non-coding RNA, 21 nt
Organism: Caenorhabditis elegans
Lineage: Eukaryota; Metazoa; Nematoda; Chromadorea; Rhabditida; Rhabditidae
Source: Ensembl